GGAAAGAGGGAGGGUGAGGUAAGGCUUGCUUGCCUUCGGAAAGAUGAUCCGACAUGGGACUGCUAAGAAAAAACUGACCUCCUUGAGGCAGGAUCAUAGAAUUACAAUUUACUAUCAUCAAUAAAAGUAACAGCCUCCAUUAUUCAAGCACUUCAUAAGAACUUUAUACGCAUUAUUGCCUCUAAAUCUCCACAGCUUUGAAAGGAAAGUUUUUUAUGCCAAAGUGGAGGAUGACCUGUAGAAGAGAUGGAAGAAAGAGAAGGCUGGGGUCAUCUCAAAGAAAAAUUGGGUUGGAUUAAAAAAAAAAAUCUUCAAUUACCGAAGAGGAAUGACAGUGGAAAUGCCUUUCUCCACUCCCCUUCCCAAAGGGAGGCUUAGUUGGACCACAGAGGACC
Molecule: long non-coding RNA, 395 nt
Organism: Tupaia belangeri chinensis (Chinese tree shrew)
Lineage: Eukaryota; Metazoa; Chordata; Mammalia; Scandentia; Tupaiidae
Exons: 3
Source: RefSeq, a predicted model, not a curated record